Molecule: ribosomal RNA, 479 nt
Filed under: uncultured bacterium
Lineage: Bacteria
Description: bacterial SSU rRNA
Rfam family: Bacterial small subunit ribosomal RNA
Source: RNAcentral
UUUCGCAAUGCCCGAAAGGGUGACGAAGCGACGCCGCGUGUGGGAAGAAGGCCUUCGGGUUGUAAACCACUGUCGGGAGUUAAGAAGUGUAGUGAUGUUAAUAGCAUCGCUACUUGACUAAGGCUCCGGAGGAAGCCACGGCUAACUCUGUGCCAGCAGCCGCGGUAAUACAGAGGCGGCAAGCGUUGUUCGGAAUUAUUGGGCGUAAAGAGCACGUAGGCGGCUAUGUAAGUCGGUUGUGAAAGCCUUCCGCUCAACGGGAGAACAGCAUCCGAUACUGCAUGGCUUGAGUGCGGGAGGGGAGAGUGGAACUUCUGGUGGAGCGGUGAAAUGCGUAGAUAUCAGAAGGAACGCCGGCGGCGAAAGCGGCUCUCUGGCCCAUAACUGACGCUGAGUGUGCGAAAGCUAGGGGAGCAAACGGGAUUAGAUACCCCGGUAGUCCUAGCCGUAAACGAUGGGCACUAAGUAGAGGGGUUUUA